Molecule: ribosomal RNA, 253 nt
Filed under: uncultured bacterium
Lineage: Bacteria
Description: partial 16S ribosomal RNA
Rfam family: Bacterial small subunit ribosomal RNA
Source: RNAcentral
UACGAAGGGGGCUAGCGUUGCUCGGAAUCACUGGGCGUAAAGGGUGCGUAGGCGGCUUUUUAAGUCAGGGGUGAAAUCCUGGAGCUCAACUCCAGAACUGCCUUUGAUACUGGGAAGCUUGAGUCCGGAAGAGGUGAGUGGAAUUGCGAGUGUAGAGGUGAAAUUCGUAGAUAUUCGCAAGAACACCAGUGGCGAAGGCGGCUCACUGGCCCGAUACUGACGCUGAGGCACGAAAGCGUGGGGAGCAAACAGG